This 127-nucleotide small RNA is filed under the name Marmota monax (woodchuck). The record is from RNAcentral. Lineage: Eukaryota; Metazoa; Chordata; Mammalia; Rodentia; Sciuridae.
GCCAGGCAUGGUGCCACAUGCCUGUAAUCCUAGCAGCUUGGGAGGCUGAGACAGGAGGAUCAUAAUUUCAAAGCUAGCCUCAGAAACUCAGCAAGGCCCUAAACAACUUAGUGACACCCUGUCUCGA